GUACUCAGUAAUGAUCCCUCCGCUGGUUCACCAACGGAGA
This 40-nucleotide ribosomal RNA is filed under the name Plectosphaerella sp. IBL 03174. RNAcentral describes it as "partial 28S ribosomal RNA". The record is from RNAcentral. Lineage: Eukaryota; Fungi; Ascomycota; Sordariomycetes; Glomerellales; Plectosphaerellaceae.